AACGAACGCUGGCGGCAGGCCUAACACAUGCAAGUCGAACGCCGUAGCAAUACGGAGUGGCAGACGGGUGAGUAACGCGUGGGAACAUACCCUCCGGUUCGGAAUAACUCAGGGAAACUUGAGCUAAUACCGGAUACGUCCAAGGUUUUAAUCGGCCUUGGAGAAAGAUUUAUCGCUGGAGGAUUGGCCCGCGUCUGAUUAGCUUGUUGGUGAGGUAAUGGCUCACCAAGGCGACGAUCAGUAGCUGGUCUGAGAGGAUGAUCAGCCACAUUGGGACUGAGACACGGCCCAAACUCCUACGGGAGGCAGCAGUGGGGAAUAUUGGACAAUGGGGGCAACCCUGAUCCAGCAAUGCCGCGUGGGUGAUGAAGGCCUU
Molecule: ribosomal RNA, 376 nt
Filed under: uncultured bacterium
Lineage: Bacteria
Description: bacterial SSU rRNA
Rfam family: Bacterial small subunit ribosomal RNA
Source: RNAcentral